Molecule: ribosomal RNA, 1809 nt
Filed under: Candidatus Shapirobacteria bacterium UBA5615
Lineage: Bacteria; Candidatus Shapironibacteriota
Description: bacterial LSU rRNA
Rfam family: Bacterial large subunit ribosomal RNA (bases 411-1806)
Source: RNAcentral
AAGCCCUGGUGAACGUCAGCAGUAACUCUAACUGUGAAACUUAGAGCAGUUGUAAAAUUUAGCUAUAUGCUGGAAUGACUAGUAUUGGGCUGUAAGCCCUUUUAUAAAUUUCAUGGUACCGAGGAGGUGAAAAUCUAUGAAUAUAGUUGAUCAGCAGGAAAGACAUUUUAGUAAAAGGAAAGAUUUGUUUAAUUAUUUUGUUGGAUUUGUUGAGGGUGAGGGUUGUUUUUCUGUAUCGAUUAAACCGCACAGUCAAAUGAAAUUUGGUUGGGUGGUUGAUCCGAUGUUUUCUAUUUACCAACAUAAGAAUAAUCGUAAAAUUUUGGAAUUAUUCCAAAAUGAAAUGCAUUGUGGAUAUAUUGUUGAAAAACAAGGUACUCCCGAUGUUUUGGUUUAUUUAGUUGAUAAUAGAAGAACUUUAGAAGAAAAAAUAAUCCCAUUUUUUAACAAACAUAAACUUCUGGGAACAAAAGCGAAUGAUUUUUUGAAUUUUUCGAAAAUAGUAUCGUUAAUGGGAGAGAAGAAGCAUUUAGAAAAAGAUGGUUUAAUAGAAAUUAUUAAAUUGGCUUUUGAAAUGAACCAGCAAGGUAAAGGCAGAAAAUAUACUGCCGAACAAAUUAUUACUAGCUUAAAUGAAUCCUCAGAGACUACAUGCUAAAAUUUAAAUUUCUAAUAUCAAAUUUCUAAUUUCUAAAAUUUAGAAAAAUGAUUUUGGAUUUUUAUCUAUGAUAUAGUCCAAGCUUGGUGGAGACAUCAAGAGUUUAUAUUUAUCGCUAGAUAUAAGAUUAAUACAGAGUCUAAGGUAGCGAAGUCCUUUGUCGGGUAAGUUCCGACGCGUAUGAAAGGUUUAACGACCGUGAAACUGUCUUGACCAUCUAUCCAGUGAAAUUGAAAGAGCGGUGAAGAUGCCGUUUAAUUACUGUAGGACAAAAAGACCCCAUGAAGCUUUACUGGAUCUUUACAUUGAUAAGAAUUUGGUGAUUGUCGAGCGUAGGAGGGACCCCGAUAUUUAUCGGGGGCCAAUGGAACACCUCCCUUUGCCAUGUUUGAAUCUUACCUACUCCGAUGAAUCUCGGAGAGGGACAGUGUAUGGUUGCUAGUUUGCCUGGGGCAGGCACCUGCAAAAGAGUAACGCGGGUACACAAAGGUCAACUUAGUCCGGCUAGAAAUCGGACUGUAAGCGCAAAAGCAUAAGUUGGCUUGACUGUGAGACAUACUAGUCGAACCCUCCGAUUUGGAGGGGUUCCAACCAAUUUUGAGUUUGGAAUCAGGGUCGAAAGACGGUUUUAGUGAUCCUCGUGACCUAUUUGGUAUAGGCACGGGCUUACUGGAUAAAAGGUACUCUGGGGAUAACAGGCUGGUCGCAUCCGAUAGUUCAUAUUGACGAUGCGGUUCGGCACCUNNCGAUGUCGACUUGGCGCAUCCUGGCCCUGAAGAAGGGGCCAAGGGUUGGUCUGUUCGCCCAUUAAAGCGCUGCGUUAGUUGGGUUCAGAGCGUCGCGAGACAGCUCGGUCUCUAUCCACAGUAAUCGUUCGAUUCUUGAGGGGAUUCGUCUACAGUACGAGAGGACCUAGACGAGGGAACCACUAGUGUGCCAGUUGUCCUGUCAAGGGCAGCGCUGGGUAGCUACGUUCCUAUUAGAUAACUGCUGAAAGCAUCUCAAGCAGGAAGCUGACUCCAAGAUUAGGAAUCGUGGUCCGAAGCAAUUCGGACGAGAGAUCGCCGGGAGACUACCGGUUAAUACGCUACAUGUGUAAGACCUGUGAAGGUUUAAGCUAAGUAGUGGAAAGAUCGAAAGAAUUUUUCAAU